Molecule: non-coding RNA, 1367 nt
Organism: Pelobates cultripes (western spadefoot toad)
Lineage: Eukaryota; Metazoa; Chordata; Amphibia; Anura; Pelobatidae
Source: the annotation of a GenBank genome assembly
GGGGGCGCAAAAUUCCAGUGACCGGCAGGAGGGAAGUGCUCCCUCCUGCCAGGUCACCUCCUGGAUCCCCGGCGCGGCGUGCGGCUGAACUGGAUGCCGAGGGAGCUCUGAUCUCUCUGAUGUGCUCCCUCGCAGGCUGCUUACUGAUGACGUCAUAUUCCGGCUCCCGCGGCAUCAGUCAGCAGCCUGCGAGGGAGCAGAUCAGAGAGAUCAGAGCUCCCUCUCCACCUCGGAUUCCAAUUCAGCCGCACGCCUCCCAGCAGCCCCACUGGACCACCAAUGAGAGACCCACGCCAGCUCUCCAGGUAGGGAGGCUGGGUGGGAAAUUUAAAUUUAAUUAAGAUUAUUAAUUUCUGUGUGUGUGUGUACAUGUGAGUAUGUGUGUCUGUCAGUGUGUGUGUGAGUAUGUGUGUCUGUCAGUGUGUGUGUGUGCAUGUGAGUAUGUCUGUCAGUGUGUGUGUGAGUAUGUGUGUCUGUCAGUGUGUGUGUGUGCAUGUGAGUAUGUCUGUCAGUGUGUGUGUGAGUAUGUGUGUCUGUCAGUGUGUGUGUGAGUAUGUGUGUCUGUCAGUGUGUGUGUGUGUGUGUGUGUGUGUGUGUGCAUGUGAGUAUGUGUGUCUGUCAGUGUGUGUGUGUGCAUGUGAUGUCUGUCAGUGUGUGUGUGAGUAUGUGUGUCUGUCAGUGUGUGUGUGUGUGUGUGUGUGUGUGUGUGUGUGCAUGUGAGUAUGUGUGUCUGUCAGUGUGUGUGUGUGCAUGUGGUGUGUCUGUCAGUGUGUGUGUGUAUGUGUGUCUGUCUGUGUGUGUGUGUAUGUGUGUCUGUCAGUGUGUGUGUGUGCAUGUGAGUAUGUCUGUCAGUGUGUGUGUGAGUAUGUGUGUCUGUCAGUGUGUGUGUGAGUAUGUGUGUCUGUCAGUGUGUGUGUGUGAGUAUGUGUGUCUGUCAGUGUGUGUGUGCAUGUGAGUAUGUGUGUGUGUGUGUGUGUGUGCUGUCAGUGUGUGUGAGUAUGUGUGUCUGUCAGUGUGUGUGUGCAUGUGAGUAUGUGUGUGUGAGUGUGUGUGUCUGUGAGUUUGUGUGUGUGUGUGGUUCUGUCAGUGUGUGUGUGAGUAUGUGUGUCUGUCAGUAUGUGCAUGUGUGCAUGUGAGUACGUGUGUCUGUCAGUGUCUGUGAGUUUGUGUGUGUGUGUGUCAGUGUGUGUUUUUCAAUGAGUCUGUCAGUGUGCGUGUGAGUGUCUGUCAAUGAAUGAGUGUGUCAGAUAAGUGAGUCUGGCUGUCAGAGAUGUCUGUGUGUUUGUCAUUGAGUGUGUGUGACUGUCAGUGUUUAUACACCCCUGACUGUAGCGUGGCCAAGCGGAGUGUACCGUGGUACAGGAACU